CUUGGCUAUGGGGACAUGUAUCCUAAGACAUGGUCAGGAAUGCUGGUGGGUGCGCUGUGUGCACUGGCUGGUGUGCUAACCAUUGCCAUGCCUGUGCCUGUCAUCGUCAAUAAC
Molecule: non-coding RNA, 114 nt
Organism: Rattus norvegicus (Norway rat)
Lineage: Eukaryota; Metazoa; Chordata; Mammalia; Rodentia; Muridae
Source: Rfam